RNAcentral lists this long non-coding RNA (8805 nucleotides) under Marmota monax (woodchuck). Lineage: Eukaryota; Metazoa; Chordata; Mammalia; Rodentia; Sciuridae. The record is from RNAcentral.
GUAACCCCUUCGAGAAGCAGGAGGUUCUGUGUCUGGGGCCCUGAGCUGAGGCGCCCACGUGGGCCCUGCAGUCCGGGGCAGGGUCGGAGGCGGUGGGACCCCUUUCUCUGCCUCACUGUGCUCCUAAGCCCCCUCACCUUUAGCCCGGGCUGGGCAGCCUGCCCGCCCCACUUAGGGUGCACGUGGAUGGGAUAAGUUGGGGCCCUGGUGACCACUGACCUUGGGCUGAAGGUAGGCUCCUAUGACAAUGACGACGACGAGAGUGGACAGGCGCCAGAAGGAACCUGGAGAUGCUCCUCAGGGGCUGGGGGCCUCCAGCCAGCCCCCACCCCGUCAUGGAGUAGGCAAGGCCCCGGCGGAGCCUGCUCCUCCCCCAGCCACGCUGCCCUUCUGUGAACAGGGUGGGCACCACCGUGGGAGACUGGCCACGGGCAUCUCAGCUCUGCCCUGCUGCGGAGCUGUCCGUCAUGGGGGCAUGCUGCAGGGCCGCCACCCCUGAGCACUUGAUGUGAAUCGGGCCAUAUCAUCUUUGCCUGUUUGAAGUAGAUGCACAGACCUUUGUGGCCAUUUUGCAGAUUAGGAAACUGAGGCACGGCAGGGGAAGGUUUCGGUCGGGCUCCUCAUGGCUCCUCCAGCAGGUGGGGCUCUGUCUGCACAGCUCUCCCUCUCCCUGGAGUCUUGCUCUCGUCGGGAGCCACUGCCCCUCUGGGGGCCCGGGGCCACCCGGCACGCAGCAGCCGCCUCAGCCUGUGGUAAUGCUGCCCACCCCUCCUGCUCCCAGACUGCCCCUUGUGGUGCCUCAGGUGUCCACCCCCACCUGGCUCUGGGCUCUAGGGCCCCAGGGGUCCUGUUUGCUGCCGUUCGGGACCUGGCAUAGUAGAUGCUCAACAAACAUUUGAAGGAUGAAUAGAAAACUGAGCGACUGGGCUUCUCCGAUCUCUUCUGCUCCUCUUGCCAGGGUCUUGGGGUCCUAUGGAUGGGGUCCUGCAGAGGGGCAGGGGAUGGGGAGGGGCUUUAUCAUGGAGGAAUCAGUCCAGCCACACUGGGACCCACUGUACUAAGAUACUCAUCCUUAGUAUCGCCCAGAGGAGAAAACCUGGGUGUGCGUGUCCAGUUAGGACCCGACUGGAAGGACCAGUGCCUCCCCAGUCGGCUUCCCCUGGCCGUGGGCCCCAGCCAGGUCGGCCCUCUGGAUCUAAGCACCAGGGUACAGGGCCUGCCAGGUUGUGCAGCAUGUUAGGUGACACUGAGGUUCAACCACGGGGUCAACCAUGGGGACAGUUCUACAAGACCAAGGACCUGGCCUCCAACCAGGGGGACGGCAUACAAAAAGGAGGGGGGACAGAGAGACGCAGGAGACUGCACCCAGAUGCAAUGUGUGAGCCUGGUUUUGAUCUUGAUUGAAAUCCAUGGACCUUAAAAUGACAUUUUUGAGGAAAAUAAGGAAAUUGGAGCAGGGACUGUCAUUAGAUGACAUUAGGGGCUGUUAACAUUAUGAGGGGUGACAAUGAUAUUGAGGUUAUUUUGAAAAAUGUUCUAAGAGGUGAAAGAUGCAUUUUGAAAUACUCGUGGGUGAAAUGAUAUCACGUCUGGAAUUUUCCUUCACAGGGGGCCUGCGGGCGGCUGUUGAGGCCGGGAGGGGCCAGGGAGGUCCCUGGGCAGCGCCCCCCUGGUAAGUGCGUGGGGAAAGCUCUAUCCUCCCACCUCUGCUCUCUCCUCCCUGCCCCACAUUCGGCCUGGAGAACAUCUGUUUGCAUCAGCACAGCUGUCCUGGCUCCCGUCCUGUUCCCCGCGCACCCAGAGGGAGGAAGGCGGCCCUGGGCUGGAAUCGGCCCUGCCUGAUUUGCAUUUGGCCCGGAGCCUGGUUCCCGGAGGCGCACCCUGAUUGCUUGUUACAAACCUUUGUCCCAGCGGCUUUGUGACCUGGGAACCUCCUGCUCUUCUCCGGCCCCAGGACUUCACUGCUGGCUUCCUCGGGGCAACAGUGGGUGGUGUGGAAUCUGCCCCGAGUCGGGUGCAGACCUUGCCCCAAAGGCAGCAGCGGGGACAGUGAGCAGGCAGGGGGGAGGGCUGCUGGCCAGCGGCUCUGGGUCUUGAGCAGGUGUGCCCCACUGCUGAUGGGGUGUGGAGACCCCAGGGGCAGAUGCGGACCUCAGUGUGGUUGAGAUGACUCUUGUCGCCACACAUCUCAUCUUCCGCCUGAGAGUCACAGGCGUGGGCGGGGCGCUGUCCACACAGAGCAGGGGGCCCUGAGCCCCCCAGAGCAGGACCUGGACUCACGGUCUCUGGCCCAGCGCUGGGCCCAGAGCAGCCACCCCAGGAGGCCAAGCGGUUCCUGAUGGGGCUUAGACAUGGGCCAGUACCAGGGUGGAGGUGUAGAAAGGCAGGUUUUUGGCAAAACCAGAUUCCAGGGCUCCCCCUGGACCCGCAGAACCCAGCUCUCCCAAGACGCAGACUGUUCUCACCGGCUCCUGGGAGAGAGCGAGCGGCCUGGGGCUGGAGUCGGGAGUUCAGCACCACGGACAGAGCCCGGCCUCCCGCAGGCCUCCAGGCUCCUGCUGGGGCAAGAUCACUGUGUGUCCGUGUCCGCGACAGGCAAGGGCCGGGCCUGAUGGGGUGCGGAUGACCCUGUGGUCCUGGCUCCCGCGUGGUGUCGUCCUCACCCCUGUUUCAGGAGUGACUUUCAGGGAGGCCAAGGUCCUGCUGUAGGUGUUGCUGACUCUACACAGAGGGGCUAUCUGGUGGACACCCCUUGAUUUAUGACUUUUAAGGGACCCCCAUACUGUGCAAGCAGCAAGGCAUGAAGCCUGAGCCUGUGUGAGCAAAUGAGCCCCCAGACAUGGCCUGAGCCCCGACUGUUGUCUUGGGGAGCCGAAUUCAAACAGAAGAGAGCUUUAUUUACCUGGCCAGGGACUGUACCCACCCGGAGAGACUGAUGCUCCGUGGGAGAACAGCCUGGCCUGUGUCCUGGGAAUUUAAGGGUGGAAACCACAACUCAGGGGCCUUUCUUGGCAUCAUGCCAGCAGGGAGCUUACAACUCAGUGAGCCGUGUCUCGGGUCCGAGCAGGUGCUCAACAACCGUGUCCCGAGUCUCAGGUGAGCGGGGCCAUGAUCCAUUUCAAAGUCACGCAGCCCCAUAGCUGUACUCAAACCCAGGAUGGAGCUCACCACCACCACCACCACCAUAUCCUGAGUUGGGGACAUUCUGUGGGGCACAAAGUACAGACAAACAAUUUUUUUUUUUUUUAAUAAGAAAACAACUUUCGUUUCUGGUUCUCAGAAGUGGGUCCUGCAGGUCCCUCCUCCCAGGAGCAGGUACAGGAAAACCAGGAUGGGGUCCAGAACAGCCGAGGUGGAGUCCCUACGGCCACACUUUUUGUCCAUAUAGCCACGGUGACUCCAUUCCCCAUGGGCCAGUGCGAGUGACUUUCUUGAUGCUCGCAGUUACCUGGUUCAGGGUCAUCUCACACGGGUAUCCACGAGCCUGGCAUUGACAUGAUCAAACUCAUACAGUUGUUGGACUGGAGCCCGUAACCUACCCUCUCCCUGGCUUCGUUGGCUCGUUUACACCUCAACACUGUGUUCAAGGGCUGUGCUCGCAGCCAGGGCGCUGUGGGGACGAGUGAGCUCUAGCUGCUGCCCCAGGAGCCCCCAGUGUGUCAAGCACGGUCCACUGACUGCUAGGAAGGAGAGCGGCCUUGGAGAUGCCCCUCAGCAAGGGUGUGGCCUGCGGAGGCCGCCAGGCCCCGGGCUCCGGCGGUUGGCACAGAGGUGGGAGGAUCAGCGUGGCCUGUGCCCGGCUCAGAGCCCAGAGCCUGCCUCCUAAUCUGAGAAACGAGAGCGCGCACCCCUCCCGCCAUCGCUCCAGGGCCGCUGGGACGAGAGCGUCCCCUCCUUCCAGGCCGAGGACCCAGCACCGGCGUCCACCGUAGACUCCCCAUUUUCUAAGGUCCUCGCACCCCACGCUUAGCGCCGGACGUGGCAAACGGGGUGGGUGGCGGCUGCCACCCGGCUCUUAUCCUGAGGAGUGAUGGCCUCUUUAGCUCUUCCUCCUGGGCCCCCAGCUGGACGUGUUUCCAGCGUCCCUUGCAGUGAGGGUGACCACUGGCUGGGUCCUGUGUGACGGGAUGGGCCAUCAGACCCUCUGGUGUUAGCAGGGGACCCUGGCUAGAGGGGGCGUGGCCUGGGUGGGUGGGACCUCUGCCGUGAGCACCGCACAGGAAUGGAACUUGCGCAGAGGGGCGCCCUUGGGUUUUGGGGUGCUCCUUACGGGGCUUCUGCUCCCCUGUGGCCACAAGCAGGACUUGCAGAGCUGGGGGGAGGAGAGGGAAGGACCUGAGCAGGCAGGAGACUGGGAGGUCUCCGGGGGGUGCAGUAUGGUUUAUUUCUAGAUUCUUCCGCGCUUAAUAACCCUACAGCCCCUGACCCGGAGUCCUCUGGCUCUGGCCUCAUAAUUUCUGCUCAAAUCUCUUGAAGUCCCAUCUCAGGUGACGACUCCCGCUCACUCCUUCCUCCUCAUUCUGGAUUUUAUUUCAAGGACCUCUGAGCAGGAGCCCGACCUGGGGUAGAAGUGGUGGGCGAACCUCCAGGCUGGGUGCCCUGCCUUCAGGGUAGAGAGCCCCCUGUGGCUCCAACCCCGGGACCCCAGCUUCGUUCAGAACCAGGGUGACGGCAACCUUGCACCUGUAGGGGUUCAGAGAGAGUGAAACCACCCAGUCAAGCAACUGUUUGGCAAGAAGCGUUGUUCGUAAGUGUGGACCUGACUGAGACCGACUGAGAUGACUCCUACUUCCCAGCGUGUCCUGGGUACCCGUCGUCUAUUGCCCACGCCUGUUUGCUCAAGGAUCUGCAGUCUGGUAGGUCUCAGCAGAACACCUGUCCCUGCUCCACCUGGCCUCGGCAGAGGGGCUGUGGGGAGAGCCAUGAGCUGGAACAGUGGGGCCUCCGCCUGUCCUGUGUCUCCAGCAGGGAUCUGCAGGGCAACUGGACUCUCCCUUCUGGCUCAGGUUCCCAGCCAAGACAGCUCUGCAGAAGCUGUGUCGCCUCUUGUGACUUCACCUGGGAAGUCAGGCAGCAUAACUCAUUAGAAGUCAGUAACCAAGGUGGCCCAGCCUCAAGGGGAAGAGAUUUAGACUUCCUCACUUCAAAAAAAUUCUUAAAAUGCUGUUAAAAUAUGUAUACCAUAAAUUUGCUUUUUUGAUCAUGUGGAAGUGUUUAAUUCAGCAACAUUCAUUUAUAAGGUUUUGUGACCAUCACCAAAACCUCUUCUUAAUGUCUAAGUGGAAUGUUUUCAAGAUUCAUCCAUGUUGUAAGCAUAUCUCAGAGUUCCUCUCCUUUUUAUGACAGUAUAAUAUUUAACUAUUUGUCUAUUGAUGAUCAUUUGGGUUGUUGGCAUCUUUUGACACCUGUGAAUAACGUUGUGAACCUGGUACAAAUAUCGAUCCUUGCUUUCAAUUCUUCAAGGUAUAUACCCAGCAGUGGAAUUAUUGGAUCGUAUAAUAAUUCUGUGUUUUAAGUUUUUUAGGGAACUCUGAUGGUAUUUCCAUAGCAGCUACACCAUUUUAUAUUCUCACAAGAAAAGCACAAGGGUUCCAAUUUCUCCACAUCCCACCAACACUUAUUCUCUACUGUGUGCGUGCUUAAUAUCCAUUGUAAUAGGUGUGAAAUGGUACCUCAUUGCAGUUUUGAUCCGUGUUUCCCUAGUGACGAGUGAUGUUGGCCAUAUUUUCACAUGCUGUUGGCCAUUUGCAUAUCUUCUUUGGAGAAAUGUCAGUCCAAGUCCUUUGCCCAGGUUUUAAUUGGGUUGUGUUGUCGGUGAAUCCCCAAUCUCCUUUAGCCAAGAUAGUCCAAAUACUACUUCUCUAGUUUUCUAUCCACCAGUCUCUGUUGAUGGACAUCCAGGCUGUUUUUCCAACAAUGCUAUGGUGAGUUUUCUUGUACUCGUGUUAUUAUGUCCACACUGAGCAUAUUGGAAAAUAAAUUUCUCCUAGCAGAGGGAUUGAUGAAUUAAGAGAAGGUACAUUUAUCAUUUAGGUGGAUGCCAUCCAGCUGCCCUUGAGAGUGGUUGUACCAAUUUUUAUUCCCCAGUAGUUAUGUAAAAGAGCAAGACACAGCUUUAAAACUAACACAUAUGUUUUCAGCAUCAUGCCAAAGAGUUCGUCUUCCUUUGGGAUGCUAAUCUGACAUUUCCUAAUACCAAUUAAAACACUGGCCUAACAUUUCACUCUGUUAAGGGAUUUGCAACUUAAUUGCAUUUAUUCAUAAAGUAGAAUUAAUAUUGAAUAACUUGCCAUCAACAGAACUAAUUCUGACCCUGUGCUAUGUCAAAUCUAUUCAUGCUUUGUUUUUAAAUCCUCUCCCCGCCCCCCCCCAAAAAAAAAAUCCUGUUAUUUGAACACCAUUAAACUGACCUAAGAAUCAGACUUGACGGCAAUAUGUCUGCCAGUCUUUGCCAAGAGGACAAAAUUUAUUUUUCUCAAUUUUUUUCCCAGAGGUAUAAUGAUGAAAAUUCAUGAGUGGAAAUUCUUUUUCUCUUAUCCAGAGUAUCUAACAAGAUAAUUGAACUGCUCGCACAUCAAAUGCAGCCUUAACUUGUCCACCCGCCCUGGUGUGGGGUUUAGAGAAACGCAGGCCAGCCCUCUGCAAAAACCAGCCCAGCCAUCCGGGCCACCACUGAGAAUUAUUAUGAGCGAAUCAGGACCCAGUUAAGAGAAACAGAUUAUAACUGCAUUUUAUUAAUACAUGUUCAUAAUUGGCCAGUCACAGUUUUCCAGAUGGGGAGUCAUUUUUCAGGGGAGAAAAGUCUCAUCAAUGAACUUAUAAACUCAGGACAGCAAACCCUACGUGCUCGGCACAGCAGCCGCUGUGAUCGUAACUGAUAAUGAGGACGUGCCUCGUGAAAAAUGAUGUGCAGGGUGAACAAGUGAGACAUCUGAAUCCAGAUGUAUCAAGACCAUGGUAAACACACGCUCACUUUGUACUGUGUCGACCCAGAAGCUGGUUCACAUAGACAGCAGGUCAUUUCCUUUUGCGUACAUGAAACCUUGGCCUUUGGCUGGUCCAAGCUCUUACCCAGCAGAGGAAUCCCCGGGGUGGGGGUGGGGGGCUGAGUUCAGCGUCACUAUCUCAAAAGGCAGCGAAGCCCCGAUGUUCUGUAAAGGGCAGUCACCUUUGAGGACUGUCGAUGAUACGAAACUUCCUCCUCAGCACCCUCCCCCCGGAGAUUCAAAGACACAGACUUGCUCAGGGGACUGCCCCGUGCAGCAGAACAGGGGACCCAUUGCCAAAGAUCAUUCAAAACCUGCCCUAACGUCUCUUCAUCCAUCCACGACUCGUACUGAGUGCAGAGGCCCAGAGCUGAGGAUGUACAUGUUAUUUACCUAAUAGUUUCCACAUUGACUCUUGUGUACCUAGGACAUUUUAGAUAGAAGGAUGUGACGAGCCAGAGACGUCACCUCUGAUUCACACCAGAGUGGAUCCACUCCCGGCUCACUGCUGUUGUCGAGACCUCUCUCGUGAAUCCCGAUUCCCAGCUCCUUUUAGGAAACAGUGAAUUCACUCAUCCACUCACUCAUCCCCGACUUCAUCUGGCUCCCAGUUCCUGGGCCCACUCAAUGGUCCAUGCUCAAUGAUGGGCAUCCGUCCCUGCCUUCUUGACCUGCCUGGCGUUCACCCAGGAACCUGCCCCCCGGUUACACUCCCUGGGGCUGGGACAGGAAUGGAGCUGCAGCUUCUUCAUGUGCUGCUGAAGCGCCCCUCAGGCUCCAUGCUGGUCCUAUAGUCCCUCCAGCCAGCCAGGAGACCUGAGAUGUCAGGGGGGAGCCCACUACCUGGACCCAGGAUUGGAGCCCCAGUGGGCAUGCGGGCCGUCACCAGCAGAGGGCACUCAUGCCUCACCACUGGCUUCUCAACCCAGCAGGGCCAGGUAGGGCUGACCAGAAGGUUAAGGCGCCUGGGUGCUGCUAGGGGCACUAGAUGGGCUUGGAGGGACCUCAUGGGAUAAAGGGGCACCAGAGUGGGCCCUUUGCACUGAGAUUCCAUGGAAAUUCUUCCCAACCGGGGAAGAAAAUUCCACAGAUGUCUCUUCACUCUGCUGAACAAACAUGACCAGCUGGACAGCAGCCAUCAGUUAAAUAAUCCUGCCACUUGGUGAAGGUCAGGGUUGCCCCAUGUGCAACUGGCAGCCCGCCGUGAGCACCACACAGAGCUGGAUCGGCCUCCUGCUCAACUCGGUUCUUUCCAGAGAGGACAAGUGGGGAGAGCAGGAUCCCAAGCCAACGGGGUCCUCUCCAGGGCCUGGGGCCAUCCUGGUUCCACCUCAAGCCGGGAAGACCAGGCCAGGACCGGGUCUUUGGCGGGUCCCUUCCAUCAGUGCCCCAGACCUUAGUGUCCCCUCUGGGGAAUGGAACUUCAGUGAUUCUGCCUCUGUGUGGCAUGGAUGUGACUCACAUAAAUACAAGGGGUUCUGCCUGCCUGCCCCCCACCCCAGCCCUCUUCCUGCUUUGGAAUCAGUGCCUUAUGGCUGUGCUGGAGCUGUGAUUAGUGGCGGUGUGUGUGGGGGGUCCCUGUGCCCUCCCAUGACUCCUCUCUAAUUGCUCUAAUCUGUGUUUUCACACUCUCUCUGGCCAGCUCCUCCCAGGAGGCAGAGUGGCCAGGCGUGGGGAGUCCCUCUGGGCUGUUGGAGCAGCCUCUGUAGAGGCCACAGGCUCCCACAGGCCAGGCUCAGGGGGACAGCCAUAGAGGAGCAUGGGUUGGGGGACGCUCCUGGGGAAGGGAAUGAGGUGACAGGAACCUCCCUGGGGUGGG